This is a long non-coding RNA of Leptopilina boulardi, 501 nucleotides long. RefSeq lists it as uncharacterized. The record is from RefSeq and is a predicted model, not a curated record. NCBI's taxonomy places the organism in Eukaryota, Metazoa, Arthropoda, Insecta, Hymenoptera, Figitidae. The transcript has 2 exons.
CUGAUACUUGUGAAAUUAUUUCCGAGCAACAAUAUUUUUUUGUAUAAAAGUUCCCCCCCCAAAAAAAAAACUAUUAGUAUUUUUAAAUAACAAUUAAGCAAAUUUCGACAAAAAUAUGUCUAAUGAUUUAAAAUCAAUGAAAUUGAUAAUAUUUGUAACAAUCAUUAGUUUGUUAUUUGAACAAUUUGUUGAGGCACAACGAUGCCUUGCACCUGAUAGUCCCUGUAAACAUGAUGGAUCAACAGGUUUCUGUUGUCCUGGAUAUUUUUGUUAUCAACAUGCAGGAUGGAUAACAGGAUAUUGUAUACUCGUAAGGAGUUAAACUAUUUCUAUUUGAUAUAUAAAAAAUAUUGUUGAUUUCGUAAAAAUAUAAAUUUUCUACAAUAUAAUAAUUAUUACUAAUUAUUAUUAUUUUAAUUUUGAAAAUUGGAAAAUAUAUAUCCUCAUUGUACUUCUAUUUUUCUUCGUUAUAAAUCACUUAAUAAACAAGGAAAACAAGUU